Molecule: ribosomal RNA, 1059 nt
Filed under: Triticum aestivum (bread wheat)
Lineage: Eukaryota; Viridiplantae; Streptophyta; Magnoliopsida; Poales; Poaceae
Description: partial small subunit ribosomal RNA
Source: RNAcentral
AUGACCUUGACCAUGUCGUCGCCCAUGACCAUGCUGAGCGACGCGUCGAUGGUGGAGGACACGUCGGAGCACCGGAAGUCGACGGACACGAGCGGCUCGUCGCAGACGUCGAGGAUGCCCUUGAGCUCGUUGGCGGCGGCGUCGCGGAACGCCUGGUUCACCUCCUCGGCGAGGGUCUUCUUGGAGACCUGCACCACGAGGUCGACGACGGACACGUUGGGGGUGGGCACCCGGAGCGCGAUCCCGUUGAGCUUGCCCUUGAGGUUGGGGAGCACCAGCGCCACGGCCUUGGCCGCGCCGGUGGAGGUGGGCACGAUGUUGAGCGCGGCGGCGCGGGCACGGCGCAGGUCGCGGUGGCUCGCGUCCAGUAGCCUCUGGUCGCCGGUGUAUGAGUGGGUGGGGAUGUCGCCCUUGCCGGGUGCGGUGAUGAGCACCUUCUUGGCGCCGGCCUCGAGAUGCUUGCCCGCGCCGGCGCGGUCGACGAAGACGCCGGUGCCCUCGAUGACGAGGUCGAUGCCCAUCUCGCCCCACGGCAGGUUGGAGGGGUUGCGGUCGGACACCACCUUGAUCACCUUGCCGUCCACGGAGAUGGCGUUGUCGCCCACGGGCUUGACGUCCGCGUCGAAGAUGCCCAGCGUGGAGUCGUACUUGAGGAGGUGGGACGCCUGCUUCACGCCUCCGGUGUCGUUGAUGGCGAUCACCUCCAGCGGCGAGCUGUCGCCGCGCCCGUGCCAGCACCGCAGGAAGUUGCGCCCGAUGCGCCCGAACCCGUUGAUCGCCACCUUGAGCUUGGCCUCCGUCGGCGCCUUCCGCGACCCGCCGCUGGUGCUCACCUGCAAGCACAGCACCGCCGCGUCACGCACACACGCUCCCAUGGCACGCGACCAAGCAAGCUACAUUCCACCGAUCAUGUCAUACCGCGUAUGUCCUGAAGGAGACCGCGGACAUGAAGUCGUCGGAGGUGGCAUUCCGCCGGAGCGGCAGCGACGACGAGCUCCUCAGCCCGGAGAACUCCAGCAUGCCCCCCUGGAUCGAGUUGGACGCAAAUCACUUACAUAA